CUACGGGAUGCAGCAGUGAGGAAUAUUGCACAAUGGGGGGAACCCUGAUGCAGCAACGCCGCGUGGAGGAUGACGCAUUUCGGUGUGUAAACUCCUUUUAUAUGUCAAGAAAAUGACGGUAGCAUAUGAAUAAGCACCGGCUAACUCCGUGCCAGCAGCCGCGGUAAUACGGAGGGUGCAAGCGUUACUCGGAAUCACUGGGCGUAAAGGGCGCGUAGGCGGGUUGGUAAGUCAGGUGUGAAAUCCUAUAGCUUAACUGUAGAACUGCACUUGAAACUUCUAAUCUAGAGUAUGGGAGGGGGAGAUGGAAUUAGUGGUGUAGGGGUAAAAUCCGUAGAUAUCACUAGGAAUACCUAAAGCGAAGGCGAUCUCCUGGAACAUUACUGACGCUGAGGCGUGAAAGCGUGGGGAGCAAACAGGAUUAGAUACCCCCGUAGUC
Molecule: ribosomal RNA, 439 nt
Filed under: uncultured bacterium
Lineage: Bacteria
Description: partial 16S ribosomal RNA
Rfam family: Bacterial small subunit ribosomal RNA
Source: RNAcentral